AACGAACGCUGGCGGCAGGCCUAACACAUGCAAGUCGAGCGAGGACUUCGGUUCUAGCGGCGGACGGGUGAGUAACACGUGGAUAACCUACCUAUAAGACUGGAUUACCUCGGGAAACCGGAGCUAAUACCGGAUAACAUGUUGGACCCCCUGGUUCAACCGUGAAAGACGGUUUUGCUGUCACUUAUAGAUUGAUCCGCGCCGCAUUAGCUAGUUGGUAAGGUAACGGCUUACCAAGGCAACGAUGCGUAGCCGACCUGAGAGGGUGAUCGGCCCAACUGGAACUGAGACACGGUCCAGACUCCUACGGGAGGCAGCAGUAGGGAAUCUUCCGCAAUGGGCGAAAGCCUGACGGAGCAACGCCGCGUGAGUGAAGAAGGUCUUCGGAUCGUAAAACUCUGUUAUUAGGGAAGAACAAAUGUGUAAGUAACUAUGCACGUCUUGACGGUACCUAAUCAGAAAGCCACGGCUAACUACGU
RNAcentral lists this ribosomal RNA (479 nucleotides) under uncultured bacterium. RNAcentral's name for it is "partial 16S ribosomal RNA". It matches the Rfam family "Bacterial small subunit ribosomal RNA", at positions 29 to 506 of the family's 1533-position model. The record is from RNAcentral.